GCCGCCCUGACUAGGACAGCCACGUGUUACUCGAAAGGCAAAACUGCGGUAGUCGAAAACAGCCUGCUCCCAGUAUUAUGAGUGGAGCGCCAGAUUGACUAGAACUGGUUGAAAUACUUCAUUUCAGUAGUACUACUAGUAGCACAGAGUUUUCAAAUGGCUUUCCAUCUGGCCGUUCGAGCAUUUAUUUGCAGUGGUUCAGAUUUCGUCAUAAUUCACUGCACUAGUAGGAUAUAAACUAAAUGCUCAAAUGACUCAAGGCGACUCAUGAGACCAAUGAGCAAACUGGUACACGGACCUUAAAAUGGAUAUCAAGGAUAUGGAUUACCAGUAAGUGCUCAAACGGCUUGCCAUAGGUACUGUUGUUGUUCUGUUAAAAGAUGACGCCUUGGACAACAACCGUCGGACAGUGGCGGGCACCGUGCUCGUCUUGAUCGCUUGCAACACUAACAAUGAGACAGUAUUUUGACGGGAGGACUCGCCGAGUGGAUGACGACGCACACAGAACAUUUCUCUCGUCAAGUGUUUUCCUUUGCAACUACUGAACUAACACUACUGACAGGCUUCUCCACUCUCAAACACGAGGAGCGCUUGAUUUGCGGCUCACGGUGAAUGAGGACUCCCGUAGUGAAUGUUUGGCGACAACUUAUUUUUAACCUUUUUGUGGCAAUACUGAAGCAAUAUUAAUCCUCUGUGAUGACCAUGAAGAUGAUGAUGAUGAUGCACCUCAUCUGUGCGGCUUACUCUCGUCUGAUAUGUCAUCCGGAAUUGAUGACAUCAGGUGCGCAGAUGUGAUAGUGGUCUAUUUUUUUUUUUGUUGUGUUGUUUGUUUUUUUUUGCACAAAUCGGAGCGAAUGUCACGUGACUGAAAAUAACGAGACGCUUUUUUGUGACCGAAUGUAACGGAUGACACCCCGCGCGACCGCUUUUGGGACGGACAAUCAAGGGGCCGUUGGGAUGAGAGACACUUAUUUUAUUCUUUAGUUUUAGCAGCACUCAGACUGUGAUAAAUACAGUAGAAGUAUCGUUCCAACAAGUGACAUUUUAAGUGUUUGUGUGUGCGCGCGUGUGUGUGUGUGUGUGUGUAUGGUCAAAUCGAAUUGAAAAGUGAUUUUUGUUUUUUGUGUGUGUGUGGUUUCUUUUUCCAACAAAGUCAGGUGUCUUCAGUACGCCAACCGUAGCAACAAUGGCGAACUUCAAGGUCAAAUUCACCAUAAGGAUCGUUCACAUUAUUUGAAUGUCUCUCAAGAGCAAUAGACACCCAUCACCCGUGACCGAGGACUAUUUGGGGCCAAGCUGAAAAGUAACCAAAGGGAGGGGAUUUAAUCCCCAAUAUUUUUAGGACAGCCAUAAGAAAAAAAGACAGCAAGAAAAAAGUUGUCAAUUUACAAAGAGCUCAUGUUGGAAGAGUAUCAAUUUUAUGAUAGUCAUACAUUCAUGAAUAAAGUUCUCAUUUAAAAAACGGUGAAGUUACUGGAAAAAAAACCCACAUGUUGAAAUUCCACAGGAAAAGUCGAAGUAGUACAGUGAUCCUCUCACUUAUCGCGUUUAAUGGGGACCGAGACCUCCCACAAAAGAGGAAAAUCCGCAAAGUGGGUAAAACACAACACAUUAGACAGUCGUGCAAUCUCAACCACUUUUUCUGCAUACACUUUGUUGUUUGAAGCAGUUAUAGAUGAAGGGGAGAGUAAAAAAGUGUCCUUUCACCAGUGGAUCAGAAACGUCAUGCUGAAAAUGUGCACGUCUGCUACAAGCUAAGUUAGAAGGCAAACGAAGCUGUAGCAUCCAUUGACAAAAAAGAGAGAUUGCCUCACAUCUUAUGUCCCAUGUAAAUCCGCUUCAAUUCCAAGCCGCGACUCCCAGUUCCACAUAUGCAUUGGCGCUCUGCGCUGACGCUCCUUUCUUCUCAUUGUCGGUUCCACAAGUCAUCCAUCCAUCCAGCCGCAGACUGUCCCAACAGCACCGACAUUUCCGCUGAACAAAGCGGGACUGUGAAAAAUGCCGCCCAUUUUAGACCCAAAAAACACAAGCGCCCCGCUGUCCAGCAACGACAGUCAGUUGACGCCGACAUUCCUCCCAAUCAAAAUCAGUGUUGGUACACACGUGCUGCACAGAAGACAUAAAAUCCAGUAAACAUAUACAUGUAGUACUGUAUAUGUUGCUCGAUGUGACUCGCUGUUUUGCUGACUUUUGCUGCCUCUCCAUUUUGAUGAAUGCGUUUGAAAAAUCCGCGAUGCACUGAAACUGUGAAAAGUGAACCACGAAGUAGUGAGGGAUCACUGUACAUUCAGAAGUUCAGAAUGUAGUCUUGCAUUGAAAAGGUCGUAAUAUGAUGACAGAAGUCGGAAGGGAAAUAAAAUAGUAAUUUUUCUUUGUGUAAUUUUGCAAUAAUACAAUUGGCAUUAAACGGGAAGAGCCUAACGUAAUGUAACAAGUCAUAAAUUUACUGGGGAUAAAACGCUUCAUUUUUGGGGGCGGAAGUGGUAAUUUUUAAAGAACGGGUAAUAAAAUUAUGAGAAAAAAAAAUAUUCAAGAAAAGUCACAAUCUUUCUUAUUCUUAUGAAGGACGUCAUUCUCAUAGAAAGACACCUUAUUUUCUUCACUUGGAUAUUCACUUGUGAAAAUGACUAUUGGUAGGUUGUCAGCGUUCUCCUAAAACUUUCCUUGGGAAAAUCACAAAUUUUGACAUUGAAUGGUUAAAAUUACAGCUUGACUAUUCACAAAAAAUUAGGACUCUUUCUAUGAAAAUUCCAACUACUUCUAACGUUACAGUUUUCACAUGGAGUUAUUAAAUUCCGACAUUGUUGACAUUUAUACUCUUCUCGUAAAAUGACAACUAUUGUAACACUACAAUUUUGUUAGAUUCAACUUUAUCGUAUUUUGACUUCAUUGUCCUUGCACGACAAUUUUGACAUUCUCUUCAGAUUACAACUUUACCACAUGAUGACUAUUCUCAUAAAAAUUCAGACUUUUUCUUCUGAAGAUUGUGGCUAUUCUUAUAACGUUACAAUUUUAACAUCCACUUUUGAAAAAUGGCAACUUUGUCAACAUGUCACCAUUAUUCUUUUUGUUUGUUUGUGUGUGUGUGUGUUUUUAACGUUGCAAUUUUUAACAUUCACUUACUGAAAUCAUCACAUUCUGACCAUUUUCUCGAAAAAAUACUCUGUGAGGUUACAAUGUUGAUAUUCACUCAUUGACUUAGAACAGUAAUAAUGACUUUCCCCCUCAUAUUUUGGCGUUAUCUUUUGUGAAAUUACAUUUUUCAAUUGGCCCCAAUAUUCAUUGGCACUUACAAAUACUUCAUUUCCUCGACAACUAGACCCUGGUAUGUUUUUGGUUUCCUUUUUUUUCCUCCUUUUUUUUUUUAGGAAUGGACUACGAGAAUAUAAUACAAGAUGAGAUUGAGUUCAAAUUUCAUUUUCUCACCCUGAUGUUGCCUUCGGGAUGGUAAUAAUUGGUCAUGCCAGCAAUAACAACCGAUGCCGCAAUGCGUUGCGGCCGUAAGAGACCGAAAAGGGUGCGCAAAGUACUCAGUUGUUGUGUUCAUAUUGUUCUGGGACGGCUCGGGUGUACUGAACGGAGAUGUAUUACCACAGGCGGAGGACAUGAACUCACAUUUGUUUGAAAAAGUGUACAAAUGAGCGUUAACUAGAGCCACCUGGUAGCGUUUUUAUUCUGUGUGCCUUUUACUUUUUACAUUUCAAAGAUGAUGAUGAUGAGUUGUCAUGAUUAGCAUUUAUUUUGUCAUGGUUUUUCGCCCCCACCCCUACCCACACCCCACUUAAGUGAGUAGAAGCAGUUUCCACAAAGGUACAAAAGCCAAAGUCCCUCAAUACUUGCUGCCAUCUUUGUGAUUAUUAUUUUUUUUAAACAAGGUGUAUUUUUUGUUUUAACUUGUUGGCUCGGUGGCCGCACGUGUCAAAAGUAUUCUAGCAAUAUAUUUGUGUAUAGGUGAAGACAGAAGUCAUAAGGAGAGUAGUUGUUGAUACAUUACAUUCAUUUCACAUACACCACCGCCCCGCUGCUGUUGAAGCAACAACAUGAAAUAAAGACUUUUCUAUAUUUCCGCCUCAUUGUUGUCAGCCACACAUAAGCUAAUUUGCUGUUGAGAUUAAAAAAAGGUUAUGGAACAGCU
Molecule: long non-coding RNA, 4135 nt
Organism: Hippocampus zosterae (dwarf seahorse)
Lineage: Eukaryota; Metazoa; Chordata; Actinopteri; Syngnathiformes; Syngnathidae
Exons: 2
Source: RefSeq, a predicted model, not a curated record